This 651-nucleotide long non-coding RNA is filed under the name Pan troglodytes (chimpanzee). RNAcentral describes it as "long non-coding RNA NONPTRT014624". The record is from RNAcentral. Lineage: Eukaryota; Metazoa; Chordata; Mammalia; Primates; Hominidae.
CGGGGGUAAUGGAAGCUCCCUACCGCCAAGCACCACGACCCUCCCCUGCCUUCUCCAGGCCUAAGGGUCAAGCUGCCAGGCCACCAGGCAGUGCCAGAUGGACAAUUCGAGGCUGAGUUACAUGAUUUAUCCAAAGUCACACACGUGCACAGGUGGUGGAGCUGAGGUGCAGAUUCAGGCUUGACUUCAAAACCAGGGCUCUCGCUCCAACAGUAGGCUGCAACGGCUUGAAGGACAAUGGUAUAGUUGUCCGGAAUUGGGUAAUGACAUCUAGGUGAUAUACAAUUUAUUCCCAGCAGCAAAACAAGUAUUUACCAGGCUGCUGCUGUAAAGAUCAUUACUAGCAUUUGUGUACUGCUUUCCUAUUUAUAAGCCAUUUUCACUUGCAUCAUCUUCUUUAAUCUUCACAACUUAGAGGGGUAAGUAUGAUUAUCAUUUCCAUCUCUGCCUCUGGAAACUAAGGCCUGCCAGUGUGCCCAAGCUUCACUUGAGUUUUAAGAGCACUCCCUGCCCCAGCCCUCUUUCUCGGUAACAGAGGGCUCCAUUUCUUUCCGCAUUUGGUCUACUUUUUCCUUGUUCUGUUUUCCAUGGAAAUACAGCUCAGUGCUCAACCUCAUCCCCAGAAAAUAGUGACUAUAUCAUGCCUUUGAG